RNAcentral lists this long non-coding RNA (199 nucleotides) under Lathyrus oleraceus (garden pea). Its description in RNAcentral is "Pisum sativum (pea) long non-coding RNA (PSAT_LNC024271)". Lineage: Eukaryota; Viridiplantae; Streptophyta; Magnoliopsida; Fabales; Fabaceae. The record is from RNAcentral.
UUAGAGAUGGCAUUGUUUUGUCUUUUGGUGUUUAAGUGCCAAGGUGACUGAUUGAUGAAGGUUUCUCAUGACCAAGCGUGACAUUACCUUUUUUUUCUUAUUUUCUGAUUUGUUCUUGGACCGGGCCGUGUCACAUUUAAUUUCCCCAUCCCACCACCACCCUUUCGGGCCCAUUUUCGUUGUAACCAAUAUCCUCUUG